This 64-nucleotide transfer RNA is filed under the name Dipodomys ordii (Ord's kangaroo rat). It matches the Rfam family "tRNA". From Rfam's summary of the family: Transfer RNA (tRNA) molecules are approximately 80 nucleotides in length. Their secondary structure includes four short double-helical elements and three loops (D, anti-codon, and T loops). Lineage: Eukaryota; Metazoa; Chordata; Mammalia; Rodentia; Heteromyidae. The record is from Rfam by way of RNAcentral.
GGUGGCUCAGUGGUAGAGUGCUUGCCUUGCAUGCCUGCGGCCCUGGGUUCGAUUCCCAGCACCA